This 431-nucleotide long non-coding RNA is filed under the name Pan troglodytes (chimpanzee). Its description in RNAcentral is "long non-coding RNA NONPTRT002852". The record is from RNAcentral. Lineage: Eukaryota; Metazoa; Chordata; Mammalia; Primates; Hominidae.
UGAACCCUGCUCCUGUGGAGGCUAUGAGUGACACCAGUGAUGCUGUUAAACAAGGACAGUCCGGUUCAUGGAUUGUGACAACGCACGCUGACAUCAAGCAGACCCUGCCGUCAGGUACAGAGGGCACCACAGUGACCAGGAACUGCUGUCCUUUCAUACCAGGUUUUAGGAGACUUUACCAGAAGGAAUGGAAAAUGCUGGUGGGCAGUAAGAUUGAAACAGCAUCUGAGGACUGGUUCUGCACAAAACCUUAAAUUCUUCAAGGACUUUGACAUUUGUUUAUUCUUGUAACAAAUUAAAACCUAUCCUGUGUGUUGGUUAGAGAUCUUCAAACUGUAAAUACCUUGAGGCAGGAGUGAGGUUUUUAUCUUCUAAAGGACAGGCCCCUACUCUCCUACGUAAUGAGUUUCUAAAAAUGGAUGUGAGCACCA